AGCGAACGCUGGCGGCAGGCCUAACACAUGCAAGUCGAACGGGCACCUUCGGGUGUCAGUGGCAGACGGGUGAGUAACACGUGGGAACGUGCCUUUUGGUUCGGAACAACCCAGGGAAACUUGGGCUAAUACCGGAUAAGCCCUUACGGGGAAAGAUUUAUCGCCAAAAGAUCGGCCCGCGUCUGAUUAGCUAGUUGGUGAGGUAAUGGCUCACCAAGGCUACGAUCAGUAGCUGGUCUGAGAGGAUGAUCAGCCACAUUGGGACUGAGACACGGCCCAAACUCCUACGGGAGGCAGCAGUGGGAAUCUUGGACAAUGGGCGCAAGCCUGAUCCAGCCAUGCCGCGUGAGUGAUGAAGGCCUUAGGGUUGUAAAGCUCUUUCAGUGGGGAAGAUAAUGACGGUACCCACAGAAGAAGCCCCGGCUAACUUCGUGCCAGCCGCCGCCGUAAU
RNAcentral lists this ribosomal RNA (451 nucleotides) under uncultured bacterium. RNAcentral describes it as "bacterial SSU rRNA". It matches the Rfam family "Bacterial small subunit ribosomal RNA", at positions 29 to 524 of the family's 1533-position model. The record is from RNAcentral.